UUCGAUUUACAGCGAUAGUAUGUAUUUUUAUCAAUAAAAUAUUCACAUAGUCAAGAUCGGAUGACUUCAUAUUUUUUCAUAAGGAUAUGUUAAUUUGUAAAGUAAUACGAUCAGUAAUGAGAGAAACUAGUUCUUUAGCUAUUAAAUAACCGUCAAGUAAGGUUAUUAAUGCACUACAAUAUUUGUAGAUGUUGUAAAUUGACUAUACCGCAUACAAGUAUUUAGACUUUUCAGAGGCAGGCUUUUUUUUGGUCUCCUGACCAAUUGACCAGUGGAGGGCGGAAGUCCGGCGAUUUCCAGGAGGAAGGAGUAUGGAGGGCGGGGCAUGUCGGAGUCGAACUAACUAAAAUCUCCUGUCGCUCAACAACCCACAUCCGAACCUCGCAUGAGACAGAACUUAUGAAAAGGCAAAGGGGGAAAGUGAAGCGUUUAGUGCGGAGCACAUCUCACCCAUCACCCUCCUUCAAAGGCAGGCUAGCAUACGAAUUGCUAGACGAUAGUAGUUACGGUCGCUUAAGAAUGUUAGCUAUGAUUGGGAAGCCGCAGAGUCGCUGCUCCGGUUGUCUCAGACAGUCUCUCUUUAAGUCUCUCAAGUUGAACAAGUACAUGAGAAAACGCACAGGAAGCACUCUGGACUUUAUUUAAUUCCAGGGUCAGAUUGUUUGAUUAUUAAUUCCAGCAGGAAGCUAAAACUGUUAGUUUGAUUUUGACAUAAAAUAUCAAAAAAUCGGUUGUCUGUAAAGUCGGUUUACUGACGAUAGUUGAACGUGACAAAUAAGAAAAUACUGAUGGAAUGGUUUCAUUUUUCAAUUAUCGCAAUUAUCGUUGCUAUAAACAAUUGACACCACAUUCACUUUUCACUGAACUUCAUACUUGACGAAAACAUGUACGCCUCAGAGUGAGGUAACGCCGCAUGAGUCGUGUUUUUUCGUGCGUGCAGCCGGCUCCAUCGAAUUAUAAGACGUUGUCACGUCAAAAUGAUAUGAUUUUUCGCUAUGAAAUUGGGAAACGGGUUGAAGUCCUCAUAUUUUCACAACUGAUAUAAAGUAAGAUUUAUUUUUAAUUAUAGAUAAGUGAUAGUUCUGGGCCAAUUUUAAAUUAAGGGAUCGAUAUAUCAGUGGUUAGUUAGUCUAGCAAUUCUAUGACCCGGGUUUUUUUUACCUAAAUAAUUAAACUAAAACAUCACAAAGUUUUUGGAUUGUUGUAUCAUGGUGUGUAUUUAAUAUGCGUAUUUUUAAUUAGGAUAAUUUAUUUUCAGUGAUUUCCAUUAGUAUUUACAUGAUCUAAAUUUGAAAGAUCUAAUUUUGAUUGACAAGGUCGACAGUAGGCAGCGGCUUGGCUAGCAGUAGGCAGCGGCUUGGCUCUGCUCCUGGCAUUGCUGAAGUCCAUGGGCGACGGUAACCACUUACCAUCAGGUGGGCCGUACGCUCGUCUGCCUACAAAGGCAAUAAAAAAAAAACUUCGAAAUUGUAUGACAAAAAGGUCAUGGUGGAAAUUUAAUAAUAUGUUUUUUUGUAUAUGUAACAGAAAACGACAAAGACGUUCGCUAAAACAUAAAGAGUUUGAGGAACUUAUCAGGUUUUUCUUUACUUAAUAGUGAAAUCUAUGAAAUAAAUUAGUUAUGUAUUAAUAUGUUUGUUUAUAUAUUCACAAAACGAAUGGCAUAUCAAGUCGAUUUACCUCUUAAUUGUAUUCAUGAUUUUAAAGUUAUGUUAUUUUUAUCAGGUUAACCUUGGCUCGUAGACGCAACCCGCCGCAAAGUUAACUUGAUUUAAUUAACAAAAUUAACUACUGACAUUUAAUAUCGUAUAAUUAGAAUAGCGUCUGUGGACAUUUGGGUGUUUUCGCAAUAUCGUAUAAUAAUACAUAGAAUAUUUUGUAUUCAUUAAUUGCUUCAUACUGUUUCAUAGAUGUUUGUUUUUUGUCUAAAUUUAAUUUGUACUUCUUUUGCUAGAAUAUAUUGUCCUGCAUAUAAAAUAUUUAAUUUAAAA
Bombyx mori (domestic silkworm) is the source of this 1991-nucleotide long non-coding RNA. RefSeq lists it as uncharacterized. The record is from RefSeq and is a predicted model, not a curated record. The transcript has 2 exons. NCBI's taxonomy places the organism in Eukaryota, Metazoa, Arthropoda, Insecta, Lepidoptera, Bombycidae.